RNAcentral lists this ribosomal RNA (271 nucleotides) under uncultured archaeon. RNAcentral describes it as "partial 16S ribosomal RNA". It matches the Rfam family "Bacterial small subunit ribosomal RNA", at positions 524 to 794 of the family's 1533-position model. The record is from RNAcentral.
UACAGAGGGUGCAAGCGUUAAUCGGAAUUACUGGGCGUAAAGCGCGCGUAGGUGGUUUGUUAAGUUGGAUGUGAAAUCCCCGGGCUCAACCUGGGAACUGCAUUCAAAACUGACAAGCUAGAGUAUGGUAGAGGGUGGUGGAAUUUCCUGUGUAGCGGUGAAAUGCGUAGAGAUCGGAAGGAACAUCAGUGGCGAAGGCGACACUCUGGUCUGACACUGACGCUGAGGUGCGAAAGCGUGGGUAGCAAACAGGAUUAGAAACCCCAGUAGU